AGGACGAACGCUGGCGGCGUGCUUAACACAUGCAAGUCGAGCGGAAAGGCCCUUCGGGGUACUCGAGCGGCGAACGGGUGAGUAACACGUGAGCAACCUGCCCUUAGCUCCGGGAUAGCUCCGGGAAACCGGAAUUAAAUACCGGAUACGACCACGGCUGACAUCGGCUGUGGUGGAAAGGAUUUCCGGCUAAGGAUGGGCUCGCGGCCUAUCAGCUAGUUGGUGGGGCAAUGGCCCACCAAGGCGACGACGGGUA
RNAcentral lists this ribosomal RNA (256 nucleotides) under uncultured bacterium. RNAcentral describes it as "partial small subunit ribosomal RNA". It matches the Rfam family "Bacterial small subunit ribosomal RNA", at positions 26 to 285 of the family's 1533-position model. The record is from RNAcentral.